GGAGGUAACUCAGUGUGUAAAAGUGCUUGCCUUGUAAGCAUGAGGACCUGGGUUUGACCCCCAGGACCUUUA
This 72-nucleotide transfer RNA is filed under the name Rattus norvegicus (Norway rat). It matches the Rfam family "tRNA". Rfam says of the family: Transfer RNA (tRNA) molecules are approximately 80 nucleotides in length. The record is from Rfam by way of RNAcentral. Lineage: Eukaryota; Metazoa; Chordata; Mammalia; Rodentia; Muridae.